GCCAGGUGUGGUGGUGCGCACCUGUAAUCCCAGCUACUCGGGAGGCUGAGGCAGGAGAAUCACGGGAGGCGAAGGUUGUAGUGAGCCGAGAUCGUGACCCUGCACUCCAGCCUGGGUGACAAGAGUGAGACUCUGUCUCAAAAAAAAUUUUAUUUAUUUAUUUUUUGAGACAGAGUCUCAUUCUGUCACCCAGGCUGGAGUGCAGGGUCACGAUCUCGGCUCACUGCAACUUCCGCCUCCCUGAAGUGAUUUUCGUGCCUCA
This 262-nucleotide signal recognition particle RNA is filed under the name Saimiri boliviensis boliviensis (Bolivian squirrel monkey). RNAcentral's name for it is "Metazoan signal recognition particle RNA (ENSSBOG00000012011.1)". It matches the Rfam family "Metazoan signal recognition particle RNA". From Rfam's summary of the family: The signal recognition particle (SRP) is a universally conserved ribonucleoprotein. It is involved in the co-translational targeting of proteins to membranes. Lineage: Eukaryota; Metazoa; Chordata; Mammalia; Primates; Cebidae. The record is from RNAcentral.